This 83-nucleotide transfer RNA is filed under the name archaeon. Its description in RNAcentral is "tRNA-Ser". It matches the Rfam family "tRNA". Rfam says of the family: Transfer RNA (tRNA) molecules are approximately 80 nucleotides in length. Their secondary structure includes four short double-helical elements and three loops (D, anti-codon, and T loops). The record is from RNAcentral.
GCUGGGGUAGCCAAGCGGUUAAGGCGCAGGCCUGGAAAGCCUGUGGGCUUCGGCCCGCGCGGGUUCAAAUCCCGUCCCCAGCG